CGAUCAAGAUCGGAACUUGACCGCAAACUCGAACGAGGAAAGUUACACGGGUAUCAGGAUUGAACUAUCAUUACUUGUCUAGAGAGAGAGAGAGAGAGAGAGAGAGAGAGAGAGAGAGAAAAGAAGGGUGUGACCUUGUCUGUGCAUGGGAGAAAUACCAGGGACAGUCAUUGUGCUUGAAGUAGUAGCUGCUUGGAUUGCCUUCCA
Molecule: non-coding RNA, 207 nt
Organism: Musa acuminata subsp. malaccensis (wild Malaysian banana)
Lineage: Eukaryota; Viridiplantae; Streptophyta; Magnoliopsida; Zingiberales; Musaceae
Source: RefSeq, a predicted model, not a curated record